RNAcentral lists this ribosomal RNA (510 nucleotides) under uncultured bacterium. RNAcentral describes it as "bacterial SSU rRNA". It matches the Rfam family "Bacterial small subunit ribosomal RNA", at positions 21 to 518 of the family's 1533-position model. The record is from RNAcentral.
UGCUCAGGAUGAACGACUAGCUACAGGCUUAACACAUGCAAGUCGAGGGGCAUCAUGGUCUUAGCUUGCUAAGACUGAUGGCGACCGGCGCACGGGUGAGUAACGCGUAUCCAACCUGGCCCUUAGUAGGGGAGUAGACCCGGCGAAAGUCGGAUUAAUACCCUAUGUUGUCCCUUGAGAGCAUUUGAUUGGGACUAAAGAUUUAUCGCUAUGGGAUGGGGAUGCGUCCGAUUAGGCAGCAGGCGGGGUAACGGCCCACCUGGCCGACGAUCGGUAGGGGUUCUGAGAGGAAGGUCCCCCACAUUGGAACUGAGACACGGUCCAAACUCCUACGGGAGGCAGCAGUGAGGAAUAUUGGUCAAUGGGCGCGAGCCUGAACCAGCCAAGUAGCGUGCGGAUGACGGCCCUAUGGGUUGUAAACCGCUUUUGUACGGGGAUAAAGUGCGGCACGCGUGCCGUUUUGCAUGUACCGUAAGAAUAAGGACCGGCUAAUUCCGUGCCAGCCGCCGC